GCCCGCAUAGCUCCAAUCGGUAGAGCAAUUGCAUGGUAAGCAAGAGGUUACAGGUUCGAUUCCUGUUGUGGGCACCA
Molecule: transfer RNA, 77 nt
Filed under: Arcobacter sp.
Lineage: Bacteria; Pseudomonadati; Campylobacterota; Epsilonproteobacteria; Campylobacterales; Arcobacteraceae
Description: tRNA-Thr
Rfam family: tRNA
About the family: Transfer RNA (tRNA) molecules are approximately 80 nucleotides in length. Their secondary structure includes four short double-helical elements and three loops (D, anti-codon, and T loops).
Source: RNAcentral